RNAcentral lists this ribosomal RNA (1478 nucleotides) under Shigella sonnei. RNAcentral's name for it is "partial 23S ribosomal RNA". It matches the Rfam family "Bacterial large subunit ribosomal RNA", at positions 1463 to 2915 of the family's 2925-position model. Lineage: Bacteria; Pseudomonadati; Pseudomonadota; Gammaproteobacteria; Enterobacterales; Enterobacteriaceae. The record is from RNAcentral.
GAAGGGGGGACGGAGAAGGCUAUGUUGGCCGGGCGACGGUUGUCCCGGUUUAAGCGUGUAGGCUGGUUUUCCAGGCAAAUCCGGAAAAUCAAGGCUGAGGCGUGAUGACGAGGCACUACGGUGCUGAAGCAACAAAUGCCCUGCUUCCAGGAAAAGCCUCUAAGCAUCAGGUAACAUCAAAUCGUACCCCAAACCGACACAGGUGGUCAGGUAGAGAAUACCAAGGCGCUUGAGAGAACUCGGGUGAAGGAACUAGGCAAAAUGGUGCCGUAACUUCGGGAGAAGGCACGCUGAUAUGUAGGUGAAGUCCCUUGCGGAUGGAGCUGAAAUCAGUCGAAGAUACCAGCUGGCUGCAACUGUUUAUUAAAAACACAGCACUGUGCAAACACGAAAGUGGACGUAUACGGUGUGACGCCUGCCCGGUGCCGGAAGGUUAAUUGAUGGGGUCAGCGCAAGCGAAGCUCUUGAUCGAAGCCCCGGUAAACGGCGGCCGUAACUAUAACGGUCCUAAGGUAGCGAAAUUCCUUGUCGGGUAAGUUCCGACCUGCACGAAUGGCGUAAUGAUGGCCAGGCUGUCUCCACCCGAGACUCAGUGAAAUUGAACUCGCUGUGAAGAUGCAGUGUACCCGCGGCAAGACGGAAAGACCCCGUGAACCUUUACUAUAGCUUGACACUGAACAUUGAGCCUUGAUGUGUAGGAUAGGUGGGAGGCUUUGAAGUGUGGACGCCAGUCUGCAUGGAGCCGGCCUUGAAAUACCACCCUUUAAUGUUUAAUGUUCUAACGUGGACCCGUGAUCCGGGUUGCGGACAGUGUCUGGUGGGUAGUUUGACUGGGGCGGUCUCCUCCUAAAGAGUAACGGAGGAGCACGAAGGUUGGCUAAUCCUGGUCGGACAUCAGGAGGUUAGUGCAAUGGCAUAAGCCAGCUUGACUGCGAGCGUGACGGCGCGAGCAGGUGCGAAAGCAGGUCAUAGUGAUCCGGUGGUUCUGAAUGGAAGGGCCAUCGCUCAACGGAUAAAAGGUACUCCGGGGAUAACAGGCUGAUACCGCCCAAGAGUUCAUAUCGACGGCGGUGUUUGGCACCUCGAUGUCGGCUCAUCACAUCCUGGGGCUGAAGUAGGUCCCAAGGGUAUGGCUGUUCGCCAUUUAAAGUGGUACGCGAGCUGGGUUUAGAACGUCGUGAGACAGUUCGGUCCCUAUCUGCCGUGGGCGCUGGAGAACUGAGGGGGGCUGCUCCUAGUACGAGAGGACCGGAGUGGACGCAUCACUGGUGUUCGGGUUGUCAUGCCAAUGGCACUGCCCGGUAGCUAAAUGCGGAAGAGAUAAGUGCUGAAAGCAUCUAAGCACGAAACUUGCCCCGAGAUGAGUUCUCCCUGACCCUUUAAGGGUCCUGAAGGAACGUUGAAGACGACGACGUUGAUAGGCCGGGUGUGUAAGCGCAGCGAUGCGUUGAGCUAACCGGUACUAAUGAACCGUGAGG